Molecule: ribosomal RNA, 440 nt
Filed under: uncultured bacterium
Lineage: Bacteria
Description: partial 16S ribosomal RNA
Rfam family: Bacterial small subunit ribosomal RNA
Source: RNAcentral
CCUACGGGAGGCAGCAGUAGGGAAUAUUGCGCAAUGGGGGAAACCCUGAAGCAGCAACGCCGCGUGGAGGAUGAAGGUUUUCGGAUUGUAAACUCCUUUUGUUAGAGAAGAUAAUGACGGUAUAUAACGAAUAAGCACCGGCUAACUCCGGGCCAGCAGCCGCGGUAAUACGGAGGGUGCAAGCGUUACUCGGAAGCACUGGGCGUAAAGAGCGAGUAGGCGGGAUAGCAAUUCAGAUGGGAAAUCCCAUGGCUUAACUAUAGAACUGCAUUUGAGACUGUUAUUCUAGAGUAUGGGAGAGGUAGAUGGAAUUCUUGGUGUAGGGGUAAAAUCCGUAGAGAUCAAGAGGAAUACUCAUUGCGAAGGCGACCUGCUAGAACAUAACUGACGCUGAGGCGCGAAAGCGUGGGGAGCAAACAGGAUUAGAUACCCGGGUAGUC